CGGACGGGUGAGUAAUGCUUGGGAAUAUGCCUUAUGGUGGGGGACAACAGUUGGAAACGACUGCUAAUACCGCAUAACGUCUACGGACCAAAGGGGGGGAUCUUCGGACCUCCCGCCAUUUGAUUAGCCCAAGUGAGAUUAGCUAGUUGGUGAGGUAAUGGCUCACCAAGGCGACGAUCUCUAGCUGAUUUGAGAGGAUGAUCAGCCACACUGGGACUGAGACACGGCCCAG
This 232-nucleotide ribosomal RNA is filed under the name uncultured bacterium. RNAcentral describes it as "partial 16S ribosomal RNA". It matches the Rfam family "Bacterial small subunit ribosomal RNA", at positions 99 to 334 of the family's 1533-position model. The record is from RNAcentral.